Molecule: ribosomal RNA, 252 nt
Filed under: uncultured bacterium
Lineage: Bacteria
Description: partial 16S ribosomal RNA
Rfam family: Bacterial small subunit ribosomal RNA
Source: RNAcentral
UACGGAGGAUGCGAGCGUUAUCCGGAUUUAUUGGGUUUAAGGGGUGCGUAGGCGGACGCUUAAGUCAGCGGUAAAAUUGCGGGGCUCAACCUCGUCGAGCCGUUGAAACUGGGUGCCUUGAGUGGGCGAGAAGUACGCGGAAUGCGUGGUGUAGCGGUGAAAUGCAUAGAUAUCACGCAGAACUCCGAUUGCGGAGGCAGCGUACCGGCGCCCUACUGACGCUGAAGCACGAAGGCGUGGGUAUCGAACAGG